This is an unclassified non-coding RNA of Gopherus agassizii (Agassiz's desert tortoise), 170 nucleotides long. Lineage: Eukaryota; Metazoa; Chordata; Testudines; Testudinidae. The record is from Ensembl.
CUCACAGCCCUGGAGUCUGAAGUGUUUUAUUUAUCCACAGAACAGAUAUAAGCACAGGUAGGAAUUGAAUAAGCUCACAUUCUCCCUUCUAUCCUGUUUGUGUGGCUUGUGUGAUGAGUUUCCAAAAGGAACUGGACUCAGAACACCAGCUCAUUGUAGUGUUGCCAUUA